GAUGAACGCUGGCGGCGUGCCUAAUACAUGCAAGUCGAGCGAACAGACGAGGAGCUUGCUCCUCUGACGUUAGCGGCGGACGGGUGAGUAACACGUGGAUAACCUACUUAUAAGACUGGGAUAACUUCGGGAAAACGGAGCUAAUACCGGAUAACAUGUUGAACCGCAUGGUUCAACAGUGAAAGACGGUCUUGCUGUCACUUAUAGAUGGAUCCGCGCCGCAUUAGCUAGUUGGUAAGGUAACGGCUUACCAAGGCAACGAUGCGUAGCCGACCUGAGAGGGUGAUCGGCCACACUGGAACUGAGACACGGUCCAGACUCCUACGGGAGGCAGCAGUAGGGAAUCUUCCGCAAUGGGCGAAAGCCUGACGGAGCAACGCCGCGUGAGUGAAGAAGGUCUUCGGAUCGUAAAACUCUGUUAUUAGGGAAGAACAAAAGUGUAAGUAACUAUGCACGUCUUGACGGUACCUAAUCAGAAAGCCACGGCUAACUACGUG
Molecule: ribosomal RNA, 497 nt
Filed under: uncultured bacterium
Lineage: Bacteria
Description: partial 16S ribosomal RNA
Rfam family: Bacterial small subunit ribosomal RNA
Source: RNAcentral